UACAGAGGUUGCAAGCGUUAAUCGGAUUUACUGGGCGUAAAGCGUGCGCAGGCGGCUUCUCAAGUCAGGGGUGAAAGCCCAGAGCUCAACUCUGGAAUUGCCUUUGAGACUGAGUGGCUUGAGUACGAGAGAGGUGAGUGGAAUUCCCAGUGUAGAGGUGAAAUGCGCAGAUAUCCGGAGGAACACCGGUGGCGAAGGCGGCUUCCUGGACCGACACUGACGCUGAGGCGCGAAAGCUAGGGGAGCAAACGGG
This 253-nucleotide ribosomal RNA is filed under the name uncultured bacterium. RNAcentral's name for it is "partial 16S ribosomal RNA". It matches the Rfam family "Bacterial small subunit ribosomal RNA", at positions 524 to 776 of the family's 1533-position model. The record is from RNAcentral.